GAUGAAGAACGUAGCGAAACGCGAUACGUAAUGUGAAUUGCAGAAUUCAGUGAAUCAUCGAAUCUUUGAACGCACCUUGCGCCCCUCGGCAUUCCGAGGGGCAUGCCUGUUUGAGUGUCACGGAUCCUUCGAACCCCGCCGGUCUCCGACGAGCCGGCCGCCUGGGUUCGGUCCUGGGCGCUACGCCACCCCUCCGGGGCUGGCCCGCAUCAAAAGCAUCAGCUGGGCCUCGCGGCGUGGGCGGGCUCCGAUCGGCGUGAUAAGUCAUCUGCCGAGAGGGUGCCCGUCCGUCCCGCGGAUCGCGGUCCGCUCCCAACCCCUCCCCGCGCGCCGUCCCCCCCCGGGGAGCGCGCGGGGACGUUUCGACGCUCUGGCCUCAAAUCAGGUAGGACCACCCGCUGAACUUAAGCAUAUCAAUAAGCGGAGGA
This 428-nucleotide unclassified non-coding RNA is filed under the name soil metagenome. RNAcentral's name for it is "partial contains 5.8S ribosomal RNA, internal transcribed spacer 2, and large subunit ribosomal RNA". The stretch from base 1 to 120 matches the Rfam family "5.8S ribosomal RNA", at positions 35 to 154 of the family's 154-position model. The record is from RNAcentral.